RNAcentral lists this ribosomal RNA (896 nucleotides) under Monilochaetes guadalcanalensis. RNAcentral's name for it is "LSU rRNA". It matches the Rfam family "Eukaryotic large subunit ribosomal RNA", at positions 38 to 966 of the family's 3401-position model. Lineage: Eukaryota; Fungi; Ascomycota; Sordariomycetes; Glomerellales; Australiascaceae. The record is from RNAcentral.
GCAUAUCAAUAAGCGGAGGAAAAGAAACCAACAGGGAUUGCCUCAGUAACGGCGAGUGAAGCGGCAACAGCUCAAAUUUGAAAUCUGGCCCCAGGCCCGAGUUGUAAUUUGCAGAGGAUGCUUUGGGCGCGGUGCCUUCCGAGUUCCCUGGAACGGGACGCCAUAGAGGGUGAGAGCCCCGUACGGUCGGACGCCUAGCCUGUGUAAAGCUCCUUCGACGAGUCGAGUAGUUUGGGAAUGCUGCUCAAAAUGGGAGGUAUAUUUCUUCUAAAGCUAAAUACCGGCCAGAGACCGAUAGCGCACAAGUAGAGUGAUCGAAAGAUGAAAAGCACUUUGAAAAGAGGGUUAAACAGCACGUGAAAUUGUUAAAGGGGAAGCGCUUGUGACCAGACUUGCGUCCGGUGAAUCAUCCAGCCUUCUGGCUGGUGCACUUCGCCGGCUCAGGCCAGCAUCAGCUCGCUGUCGGGGACAAAAGCUUCGGGAACGUAGCUCCUCUCGGGGAGUGUUAUAGCCCGUUGCACAAUACCCUUCGGUGGGCUGAGGUACGCGCUCCGCAAGGAUGCUGGCGUAAUGGUCAUCAGCGACCCGUCUUGAAACACGGACCAAGGAGUCAACCUUAUGUGCGAGUGUUUGGGUGUUAAACCCCUACGCGUAAUGAAAGUGAACGCAGGUGAGAGCUUCGGCGCAUCAUCGACCGAUCCUGAUGUUCUCGGAUGGAUUUGAGUAAGAGCAUAUAGGGUUGGACCCGAAAGAAGGUGAACUAUGCGUGUAUAGGGUGAAGCCAGAGGAAACUCUGGUGGAGGCUCGCAGCGGUUCUGACGUGCAAAUCGAUCGUCAAAUAUGCGCAUGGGGGCGAAAGACUAAUCGAACCUUCUAGUAGCUGGUUUCCGCCGAAG